UUUUAUAUUUAACAUUAUGUAGUAAAAAUUUCUUACAUUUAUAGUAUUACACAUAAUAUUUAAUUUAAAAAUAAGGUAUGCAAAAAUAGUAUUUUAAAUGCCCAUUAUUAAACUACUUAAUAGUUUAGUUAAAUGUCAAUAAAAAUUUAGAUUUUAUUUUUUAUGACAUUUCAUUUAGCUGUUUUACAUAUUAUCUUAUUUUAUUUUUAGUUUCCUAAUAAGCUUUCUUAUAACUCGUGUACUGUGUUUCUUAGUGGCUUGUGCAAGACAAGGUCUCCUUUUACACCAUCUCUUGAGGUUGAGUCAAAGGGAAAGUUUUCAAGUUUCAUAAAAAGAACAUUGUUGGUAGAAAGUUAUAAAAACAUGUUAAGGACUUAGUUCAGAGGAUUUUUUGCUCAAAGAUUUGCUGUUAAUAAUUUUUUAAAAAAAGGAAAACUCAGUGUCAAACAAAGAAUACACGAAUUGCGAUAUGCUUGAAAUUUGGAAAGAAUGUAAAAAUCAAACUAGUUUCACUCUAAGUUCUUGUAUAAAAUUUUAAAAUUUUGAAAUAGAAGUAUUAGAAAGUUUUU
Molecule: long non-coding RNA, 569 nt
Organism: Hydra vulgaris (swiftwater hydra)
Lineage: Eukaryota; Metazoa; Cnidaria; Hydrozoa; Anthoathecata; Hydridae
Source: RefSeq, a predicted model, not a curated record